GGGUAUUUAGCUCAGUGGCAUAAGCGCCUGCCUUGCAAGCAGGCAGUCGUGAGUUCGACCCCUGGUACCGA
RNAcentral lists this transfer RNA (71 nucleotides) under Cavia porcellus (domestic guinea pig). It matches the Rfam family "tRNA". Rfam says of the family: Transfer RNA (tRNA) molecules are approximately 80 nucleotides in length. Their secondary structure includes four short double-helical elements and three loops (D, anti-codon, and T loops). Lineage: Eukaryota; Metazoa; Chordata; Mammalia; Rodentia; Caviidae. The record is from Rfam by way of RNAcentral.